This 97-nucleotide signal recognition particle RNA is filed under the name Gammaproteobacteria bacterium. Its description in RNAcentral is "signal recognition particle sRNA small type". It matches the Rfam family "Bacterial small signal recognition particle RNA". Rfam says of the family: The signal recognition particle (SRP) is a universally conserved ribonucleoprotein involved in the co-translational targeting of proteins to membranes. Archaeal SRP consists of a 7S RNA and homologues of the eukaryotic SRP19 and SRP54 proteins. Lineage: Bacteria; Pseudomonadati; Pseudomonadota; Gammaproteobacteria. The record is from RNAcentral.
GGCAAGUCCCCCCGCGAUGAUAGAUCGUGAACCCCGUCAGGCCCGGAAGGGAGCAGCGGCAGCGGUUGAUUCAGGCGCCGGGGUGUGGCUUGUCGGG